Long non-coding RNA from Triticum dicoccoides, 230 nucleotides. RefSeq lists it as uncharacterized. The record is from RefSeq and is a predicted model, not a curated record. NCBI's taxonomy places the organism in Eukaryota, Viridiplantae, Streptophyta, Magnoliopsida, Poales, Poaceae. The transcript has 3 exons.
AUCAGCCAGCACCCAUGUACCUGCCAUCGACGUCAUACACAGCGUAUUACGCUGGUGGUGACACGGCAAACGUCCCGUGGCAAGCUUCACAAAUUGCAGGUGGAGCACGACAUUUUGGUGUCACAGACCACACAAGAUGGCCAAAUGCAGCACAACAAGAACCUACAACUACAGUGAAGAGCGGUGCGGGGACAUCUACUGCGGGGAGCUCUGAGCGCACGGAAGACGUG